Molecule: long non-coding RNA, 778 nt
Filed under: Capsicum annuum
Lineage: Eukaryota; Viridiplantae; Streptophyta; Magnoliopsida; Solanales; Solanaceae
Description: long non-coding RNA (CANN_LNC005982)
Source: RNAcentral
ACUUGCAGUGAAGGUCCAAGCAGUGUUGACGGAGCUGCUGAGUCAGCUGCCGCGGCGGCAGCAGCAGCGGCAGCGGCGUUGCUACUUCCGCUACCAAAUGGCCGGCCUCUUUUCGGCGGCGGGGCGGCGGAUCCACCGGUUGAUCCGGUUAGCUUUGCUUGCUCUCUUUUCUGCAUUUUUCUCUUUGCUGUGUUGAUCUACUGAAAGUGGAGAAUUGGUCCGAAAAUGUUGGGUUUCGGAUCAUAGUAGAAUGGAUGGGCCUGAGUAUUUAAUUAGGCCCAAUGUACAGCCCAUUUAUGUAAGCGCACCCAAUAUUCCAUGGAAUCCCUUUAUAUAAAGGCGGUCUUUAAUUUUUAUUCUUGAUCUUUAAUUUUUGUCCUUAAUAAUGAAAAUUUGAGGGUUAAAUUACUCUUGACUAUGACAUAAUUUUUUAAGGCAAAAAUUUGGAGAAGUUUUCAUCUAAAUACAAGGCAGUUGAAUACCCGUCACCUUGUAUAUAUCUCAAUCUAACGACAUAAGACGCCUUUUAAGAAAUCUCUUGCACUUGUCACUGGACUAAUCUCUCUUGCAUCACGUUUCCUUCAGGCAAUAUUGUGUAAUACACAAAGCAAGCAAUAGUGGUAAUACACAAAGCAGCUGAGUUAUUGUUCUUUGAUUAUUGUUUUCUAUGAUAGUAGAAGAAUGGUUCAUCCUUCCGUUAAGAAGACAGUAAACGCGAAGGUUUGGAUUGAAGAUCUUCACGAGACAGUCUGAGAUAUCAUAGAAUGUCGAAAAUAAU